GACGAACGCUGGCGGCGUGCUUAACACAUGCAAGUCGAACGAGGUGGCGAACGGGUGAGUAUUUCGUGGGUAACCUGCCCUCCUUUUUGGGAUACGCCUUGGAAACGGGGUCUAAUACCGAAUAAAGGGGGAUGGGCUCGCGGCCUUUCAGCUUGUUGGUGGGGUGAUGGCCUACCAAGGCGGUGACGGGUAGCCGGCCUGAGAGGGUGACCGGGGACUGUGGGACGGGGAUACGGCCCAGGCUACUACGGGGGGGAGCAUUGGGGGAUAUGGGACAAUGGGCGAUAGCCUGAUGCAGCGACGCGGCAGGGGGGAUGAAGGCUUUCGGGUUGUAGACGUCUGUGGCUAUCGAGCGGGUAGGGGGAGAAGAAGCGCCGGCUAACUACGUGCCAGCAGCCGCGGUAAUAC
Molecule: ribosomal RNA, 408 nt
Filed under: uncultured bacterium
Lineage: Bacteria
Description: partial 16S ribosomal RNA
Rfam family: Bacterial small subunit ribosomal RNA
Source: RNAcentral